This 2051-nucleotide long non-coding RNA is filed under the name Homo sapiens (human). RNAcentral's name for it is "HSALNT0317993". The record is from RNAcentral. Lineage: Eukaryota; Metazoa; Chordata; Mammalia; Primates; Hominidae.
AAGCAGAAGAUGGAGCAGAUGAAAGAGAUGAGAGGUACAGAGCCCGCUCAGGCAGAGCCUGGCAGGUGGCUCAAAGACUCGGGGCUUUCUUCUGAAUUAAAUGGGCACACACUGGAGGGCUCUGAACAGGGAAGUAUGACAGACAUCUUUUUAAAGGGCCCCUCCAACUCUGCUGAGAGUAGACUGAGGCAAGGCAAAGGCUGUGAUGCCCACCUGAAGCCCUGCUGGAGAGGACAGCACUCCGAGGAGUAGCAGAGGAACCAGAUGGAAGUAGCCAUGGUCUGGGACAACCUCAUGUAGCAAAACGGCCCUCCUGGCCUGGACAGACAGCUGAGGGUGCAAGCCCCGAGAAAUGCGAGCCAUGGCUCUUCAUGGCUGAAGGAAUUGGUCACCUAACACUGACACGGUCUGGAAGAAUUAUUUUGAAGUGGGAGUGGCCAUGGAAUUAAGUUCCAGCCAACAGGAUGUGAGAAAUGACACAUGCACCGACCGCAUCUCCUACCACUCCUGCAGGCUGUGAUGACCACCUGAAGACCUGCUGGGGAGGACGGCACUCCAGGGAGUAGCAGAGCAACCACAAGGAAGUAGCCGUGGUGUGGGACGUCCUCAUGUAGCAGAAUGGCCUACCUGACCUGGACCGCCUACUGCCUCUGGACUGUUAAGAGAGGAUAGACACUGUCUUGGUGAUACCACUUAACAGUCGUGUGCAGCAUCAUGACAUUUUGGGCAGCAAUGGACCACAUGUACAAUAAGAUUAUCACAGAGCUCAACAUUCCUAUUUCCUGGUGACAUGGCAGCCAUCAUGACUUCGUAGCACAAUGCAUUCCUCACGUGUUUGCAGUGGUACUGGUGUAAACACACCUCCUUGCACUGUCAAUCAUAGAAUUUAGCACAUAGAAUUACAUACAGUACAUAACACCUGAUAAUGAUAAUAAAUGACUAUGUUAAAAGUUUAUGUACUUACUAUACUUUUAUCAUUAUUUUAAAAUGUGUGCCUCCUAUUUAUGCAGAAAAAAGUUAGUUAUGAAGCAGCCUCAGGCAGGUCCCCCAGGAGGGAUUCUAGAAGAAGGCAUUGUUAUCCUAGGAGAUGACAGCUCCAUGCAUGUCACUGCCCCUAAGACUGUCCAGUGAGCAAGAUGUGGAAGCAGAAAUUGAUGAUCCCGACCCUGUGAGACCUAGGCUAAUGUGCGUAUUUGUGUCUUAGUUUUUAACACAAAGUUCUAAAGAAAUUUUUAAGUAGAAAAACGCUUAUAGAUUCAGGUUAUAAAGACAGAAAGUGGCCAAGUGUGGUGCCUCGUGCCUGUAAUCCCAACACUUUGGAAGGCUGAGGUACACAGAAGGAUCACUUGAGUCUGGGAGUUUAAGACCAGCCUGAGCGACAUAGCAAGACCCCAUCUCUACCAAAAAUACAAAAAAUAUAUAUAUAUCUGGGCAUGAUGGCAUAUGCCUGCCAUCCCAGCUAUUCAGAAGGCUGAAGUGGGAAGAUUACUUGAGCCCAGGAGUUGGAGACUGCUGUGGGCUAUGAUCAUGCCACUGCACUCCAACCUGGGCAAAAGAGUAAGAUCCCAUCUCAAAAAAAAAAAAAAAAAAAGAAAGAAAUUUUGUAUAGCUGUACAGUAUGUUUGUGUUUUAUGCUAUGUUAUUACAAAAGAGUCAAAAAGUUUAAAAAUAUUAAAAAGUUCAUAAAGUAAAAAAAGUUAUAGUAAGUUAAGGCUAAUUUAUUAUUAAAGAAAUAAAAUAUGUUUUUAUAAAUUGAGUGUAGCCAAAGUGUACAGAGUUUCUGAAAUCUAAAGUAUAAUACAGUCAUGUCCUAGGCCUUCCCAUUCACUCACCAGCUACUCACUCAUCCAGAGCAACUCUCCAGUCCUGCAAGCUCCAUUCAUUGUAAGUACCCUAUCCAAGUUUAUUAUUGUUUAUUUUAUACCUUAUUUUUAUAGUCCCUUUUCUGUAUUUAGAUAGAUUUAGAUACACGAAUACUUUGUGUUAACAAAUGCAUUGUGUUACAGUUGCCUAUGGUGUUCAGUACAGUAGCAUGCUGCACAGGUUUGUAG